Molecule: transfer RNA, 83 nt
Filed under: Spirochaetia bacterium
Lineage: Bacteria; Pseudomonadati; Spirochaetota; Spirochaetia
Also listed under: 1 other name
Description: tRNA-Leu
Rfam family: tRNA
About the family: Transfer RNA (tRNA) molecules are approximately 80 nucleotides in length.
Source: RNAcentral
GCCCGGAUGGUGGAAUUGGUAGACACGCAAGCUUGAGGUGCUUGUGCCUAUUAGGUGUGGGGGUUCAAGUCCCCCUUCGGGCA